CAAGACCGGUGCCAGCCGCCGCGGUAACACCGGCGGCUCGAGUGGUAACCGCUAUUAUUGGGUCUAAAGGGUCUGUAGCCGGCCGACUAAGUCUCUUGGGAAAUCUGGCAUCUCAAGUGUCAGGCUGCCAGGGGAUACUGGUCGGCUUGGGACCGGGAGAGGUGAGAGGUACCUCGGGGGUAGGGGUGAAAUCUUGUAAUCCUCGAGGGACCACCAGUGGCGAAGGCGUCUCACCAGAACGGAUCCGACGGCAAGGGACGAA
RNAcentral lists this ribosomal RNA (262 nucleotides) under uncultured Methanosaeta sp. RNAcentral's name for it is "partial 16S ribosomal RNA". It matches the Rfam family "Archaeal small subunit ribosomal RNA", at positions 447 to 708 of the family's 1478-position model. The record is from RNAcentral. Lineage: Archaea; Methanobacteriati; Methanobacteriota; Methanomicrobia; Methanotrichales; Methanotrichaceae.